UACGGGGGGAGCAAGCGUUGUUCGGAUUUACUGGGCGUAAAGGGCGCGUAGGCGGUCUUGUAAGUCCUGUGUGAAAUCCCUCGGCUCAACUGAGGAACUGCACGGGAAACUGCUUGGCUUGAGUUCGGGAGAGGGAAGCGGAAUUCCGGGUGUAGCGGUGAAAUGCGUAGAUAUCCGGAGGAACACCCGUGGCGAAGGCGGCUCUCUGGUACGUGACUGACGCUGAGACGCGAAAGCGUGGGGAGCAAACAGG
RNAcentral lists this ribosomal RNA (253 nucleotides) under uncultured bacterium. RNAcentral describes it as "partial 16S ribosomal RNA". It matches the Rfam family "Bacterial small subunit ribosomal RNA", at positions 524 to 776 of the family's 1533-position model. The record is from RNAcentral.